GGCCAGGCGCGCGCGCACCGCCCCCUCGCAGUCAUUGGCCGGAGCGCGGCGGCCCCGCCAUGGCGGCCGCGGGCUCAGCCCGGUCCUAGCGCGAGCAGUGUCGCGGCCCUGGCGCGGGGGGCGAAGGGGGGCGGGGAGGGGGCGGCUGUGCCGCCGCCACUGCCAAGCGGGGGAUGGGCCCACACUGGCCCCGGGCGCGCGGCCACGGCUCUGUCCGCACCCCGCACCCGAGGUUUCCGCUCCAGAGGGGAGAGGACCGCGGCGCGCACACACAACGCCUCUUAAAGGCUCCGCGAGAGGCUUUGGAUGGAAUCGAGGACUUCGACUCUCGCAACUUGGCGAUGCCACCAAAUCCGUUGUUCGCGCACCACCCGGGACUCCCAGCGCAUCUUUAUGCCCACAGUACCAGAGAAAGAAAAGUUCCCCGGUUUCUUUGCAGAGGGGUAGUGGGUGAGGAUGGGAAGGUGCCUCGAACCGAGCUUGCAGGCAUUUUCCAAACGAAACAUUUGGUCAAAUCCGGGUGAUGGUAGACCCUUCCCUUAGUCUACUCUGAUCACUUGCUUGGUUUGGUGGCUAUUUUUUUUCUUCCAUCCUUCCUUCCUUCCUUUCUUCCUUUCUUUCUUUCUUUUUCUUUCUUUCUUUCUUUCUUUCUUUUCUUCCUUUCUUUCUUUCUUUCUUUUCUUCCUUCCUUCCUUCCUUCCUUUCUUUCUUUCUUUCUCUCUCUCUCUUUCGUUUUUUUAGAGAAAAGGAGCCGUCAGUGGCUGUGUUUUCCUUGUAGGGUUAACAUUUCACAGGAAUGUGGCCUGACAUUUUAAUUGCUCAAAUAAAGCAUCUCGGAUGCUGAGAAGCAGAAAUAGACUUCAUCUCAUUGUCAUGAUGCAAUUAAAAUCAAUUUUCUUCAACUUUAUCCUCUCUCGUUAGUUUCAGCUAACUCCCAAGCCCACGUCCUGCCACACACCCAGUCGUGGUGAGAGGUGAAAAGACCUUUCUGCCCGCUGAUGGACAAGCGGAGGCAGCCUCCCAGCGUCCCCUGUGCAUACCCUCUGUACACAUAUGUAAGCGCACAUAUAUCAGAUGCGCAUUUGUCAAUGUACACAGACAAAGGCUUCAGCGACUAUGCUUCUAGGUAAUAGAACAGUUGAGUACGACUUCAUUGUUCCUCAAGUUCCUUUUAAGCAUUCAUACAGUCAUUAAAACACACCCAGAGAUUCUGCCCCAAAUUGGGAAUAAUAACAAGUACAACUCACAGGAAUCACGCACAAGCCAUAUUCUUCCUCAGGAGAUUCACUGCAAUGAGAACAACUUCAUCUCCUGUGCCAUUCUGCUCAAUGUGCUAAAAUCAUCAAGCCAGUUAUGUCUCUGAAUUCCAGGGCUUUCGGUUUUAAACAUCAAACAUCUAGAAUUGCCCCUCAGAACACACUGUAUUCCAAAUCAGUAACCUGUCUGUUGGAUUUUGACCAGUUAGUGGAUUAUGAUUAUUCAAAAUUUAUAGAACAAAACUGUGACUCCAUCAUACACUCUUUGCACCAAGAAAAAACUGUAGACUGGUAAUGCAACCAGGUUUAUGAACAAGAUAUUUUACACAAAACAUGUUGAGCUUCAGGAAACAUGAACACAAAGAGUAAAUUAAUGACCAUAGGAAAGCAUCCUUGAUAGUUUAAAAAAUCGGAGUGAUGAAGGAUUAAAAAAUAAUAAACCAUACAUAUAACUGACAUGUAUAGAUUGCACUUUGCACUCAAUACCCUUUACACACAUGGGGAGAAUACGAGGUAGGAACUAAAUGAAGAUGUAGGCAGAUAGGCACUAGUUUAUAGGGAAGGAAAGAUUCUCCUUAUGCUUCAUUCUUGAAACCUCCUUAGCCCUCACCCUUCCUCCGCUGAAAUCACAUAUUUCACUAAGGCUGCAGGUGCUGGGAUUAUUUGGAAGUUGUUAAAAAAAAAAAAAAAAAGAACUAUAGUGGACACUGAGCUAUCAUAAACCUGGUGUGUAAUGAGAUUGCCAUAGAGCAAAGCCAGGCAGAAAAUUUCAGGUUGAUUAGAGACACAAUAUAACUUUCUCCUAAAGAGGACGAGAAGGAUGGAAAAGAAAUCAUUUCGGAGAAGGCUGUGCUUUUUUUUUUUUUUACUCUUUUUCUUUUCAACCUCUAUGAUUUGAGGAAUUUCCUAAUGCUACAAAUGUCAGUAGAUUAGGGGCAAACUCAGCAGAGAUGUGGUAGGGCUGAGGUUGAGAUAGAAAAUCUAAUGGGCAUCCCCAUCUCAAUUUAAUAGAAGAUAUAACUGAUUAUAAGGAAAUCCUAAACUCGCCUCUUGGGUGCAGACACUUCCAUGGCAAGAGCACCUUUUACAAACAUGCAGUCGGAAAUUUUUGAGGAAGAAGAGCUUCUCCAGGACACUUUGAGAUUUUUGGUAUUUGAAGUACGCUCUGAUGGCUUCAGAUUUAAAAUGAAGGAUUUCCCAACCAUCUCCUACAGCUCUGGAUCCUGAUAGGCAUACAACCACAGGGCUGCCAAUAAGUCAGAGGUGUUUUACUCUGUAUUUUAGGACUCAUUCAGUUAUGGGGGUGCUAUUAAAAAGCCAAAAAACAAAAACAACAAAAAAAUGACCAUUUCAAUUGUAGUUAAUUUAUUGUAUAGAAGAAGAGAGAAGACUGCAGACUGAGAAGAAAAACAAGGAGAAAAUAUUUUAAAAUGUCUUCUUCUGAGAUGCUCAUAUUCCUUGAUUAAAACAGCUCUAAGGCUAAAAGAUAAAUAUCAAUAUGUUGUUACUGUUUUUUUUUUUUUAAGAAAAUCCAGCCCAGUCUUUUAUUGUAGAUGUAAAUUUAUUUUAAUGAGAAGAAUGGCAAGCUUUAAUUUGGCCGGAGAAAGUUGAAAAAACAUUUGUUUUACUGUAGGGGGAAAAAAAGCCACCCAGGAAUAUGAUUUUCUUCCAGAAAGUGGCUGUAAUUCUCCACAAAUUAAAUCAUAAUAUGAAUACAGACCUCAGCAAAUGUCGAGAUUAACUCUGAACUCAGUAGAAACCAGUUCUGUCCACCAGGAUUCAUUGAAUUCCUCCUUCCCCUCAAUCUAGUCCGUGUGUGUUUUUCUCUUCCACCACACUGGAGCUCCAUGAAUAGAGAAAGGGGCUUCCAUUGUGUCUCUCUGAACUUCCAAGUCAAUGCAAUUUUUAACCACUGGCUUGUGGUACUUUGAAAAUCACCAGGGGCUGUCAGAGUUGGGUCCUCUGAAAAAUUUACAGUGCUAAAUCAGAGCAUAUGCUGGGAGGGAAAAAAUUGCUUAAGAUUGGAGCAAGUACAGUAUCUGUCUGCCCCCUAGUGUAAGAGUCCUCGCUGCCUAAAACGCAACUUUAAAAGAAAAGAGCUCUUAAAGGGAAACGACUUUGAGCUCACGUAGGCAUAGCAGAAUGAAACUUCUGUACAUUUUAAUCUGAAUAAUUCUUCAGGGUUUAAAAUUAAUUGGCUCUGGCUUGGUUGGACCGGACUCCGAUCUCGCCACCUCUGCGUUUCCUGAGUCACUGCCGGAGAGGUGAUGAUUUUUUUUUUUUUUUUUCUGAACUGGGUUUAUGCGCGUCCCCCUCACCCCCUCCUCUCUUUUUUCUUUCUCUGUCUCUGUCGUCUCUCUCGCUGGCUUUUUAAAAAUGAGGAACCGUUCCUUGAACGUUCUGGACAGAGCACAGAAUUGCUUAAGUCAGCCCGACACGGUUGUAAUAGACAGCAAAAAGGUAAACGUUUGCCUGAAAUCCGCACGCCAGCUCCACUACCCCGCCCGAUGGGAUAACCGGUUUCUAAAACAUUGUGGAAUUCAAGGCUCCAUAAUGGAAUCAAGAAGUCAGGAACGGCUCCCUUGGAAGGAAGCUUGGAGGACACUGGUCCAACUUCCCACUGAAGCCAGAGGUCUGGAAAUGGGCAGACGGUCAGGCAGACACCGAUUCAGCAUUUUCAAGAGUUGUAAAUUCAAGGCAGGUAAUGUAAAUAUGUGAAGGUCUGGGUGAAGGUUGCCAGUUAGCCCUGGCCAGCCACCUAAGAGAUGGGAGGGAUAGGGUUCCCUUUCCCCCAGGCUACCACUAUUGGGAGCUUUUUUUUAGAAAGUUUUGUUCCUUCUGUGGGAACCAGAACGGUGUCCCUGGAGCAUCUUUCUACAGAGUUGGAGUCUGUCCUCAGAAGCAACAGAGUUGAAACACCUCAUCCCUACAUCAUAUGGCAGACUUUCAAAACCUUGAAGGUACCCCUGCAGCAAUUACCUAUUAGAAGCGGAGGAAGAGGCGGUCUGUGAGCGCAGGGGCCACCGGUAGGUAAUAGGAUCCGUGGUUGUUGUGGGUGUAAAGUACUAACACUUUUUUUUCUGUACGCGAGCCUCUCACU
Long non-coding RNA from Aethalodelphis obliquidens (Pacific white-sided dolphin), 4356 nucleotides. RefSeq lists it as uncharacterized. The transcript is spliced from 3 exons. Lineage: Eukaryota; Metazoa; Chordata; Mammalia; Artiodactyla; Delphinidae. The record is from RefSeq and is a predicted model, not a curated record.